RNAcentral lists this long non-coding RNA (347 nucleotides) under Phoenix dactylifera (date palm). Its description in RNAcentral is "long non-coding RNA (PDAC_LNC011181)". The record is from RNAcentral. Lineage: Eukaryota; Viridiplantae; Streptophyta; Magnoliopsida; Arecales; Arecaceae.
UUAAUGUACAAAUUGUUUAUGUUCAUAAUUCCUCCUACAAUUCGAAAAAAAAUAAAAGGAUCUGUUUAUAUGUGAUAUAUACAAAGGUGGAAGAUGUUGUGAAAGAUCGUUCCCUGCUGCAAACGAAAAAUGUUCCUUUUGAACGAUCUCUUUUUCAAUACAGAAGUUUCACAUGGUUUAAAUGUUUUGAAGCCAAAUUGAAGAAGCUGCUGAAUGGAGUGAUUGUUUUACAUGUCAUAUAUGCGAGCUUGAGUUGAUUCAUUUUUGCUCCACUAGUUUUGAUGGCUUUUGAACUACAUUCCCAAAUAUUUCCCACCUUGAUCCUAAGCCCCAUUACAACCCUUGAA